AAGAGCUCAGCGCUGCCUCCCAGAGAAGCUAAUGUGCAGUCGGGGUACAGACAGACAGACAGACAGACAGACAGACAGCCUCAUCAUGGACACCGAAAAGUUAUGCACAAUGAGGGACGUCUGCAGCGACUGAGAAAGAGUCUCACCACAUCCUGACAUGAGGAAAAAGACUUUAUUGAAGACUACAAUGAGAAAAACUAUCAGACAGCAGAUGGCUGCAUUCAAGGUGAGCUCUGAACAUUUGAUCUGGAAAAGGAAUUCAAUCACGGCAGCAUGAGCUUCAUUUCAGUCUGUAGCUGCUGAAUUCAUGGAUGAAUCAUCUGGCACUAGAGAAGAAGACCAUCAAACAUCCAUGUCAGCUGAUGGAGGUCCAAGAGUCUCACCAAACAAACAACCUACAGAGUGAAGACCUGGAAUCUGAUUGGACGGCCUCCUAUUCAGCCACGUGUG
Amphiprion ocellaris (clown anemonefish) is the source of this 450-nucleotide long non-coding RNA. RefSeq lists it as uncharacterized. The transcript is spliced from 3 exons. Lineage: Eukaryota; Metazoa; Chordata; Actinopteri; Pomacentridae. The record is from RefSeq and is a predicted model, not a curated record.